UUGGAAUCAAGUAGUACUGAAUCGUCUCAUUCAUAUUCAGUUUUUGAACUUGAUGCUGGUUGCUCAUUUUGACUAAGUACGUAAACUUUUCUUGAAAUUGAUGGUUAUAGAAGCAUAAGCCCAUAGAAGCACCAGCAUUUAAAAUACCAAAUCUACUGUAUAACCAGAAGGGUAAUAUCUAAGGAGAAUAUUACUGUACUCACAAUGACUUCUUUCUCCCAACAUGUUCACAGAGGUUAAAAUUUGGUAAACCAAUACCAGUGGUGGACAUGAGACAUCCAAAAGAAUAACUGUUAAGAGGAGGAUGUGGGAAGAGCCAAACAUUGUUAAUUUUGUCAGGCAACCACCUUUCCUGCUUGUAUCUAUUAAAAAAUUGUAACUUUGAAUAACAAUUCACUUCUCUCUAGGACUUGCUAGCUUCAGCUGCAAGAUGAGAGUAUGGACUGCAGGGUCCUUGAGGUUCCUUUCAAGGCAAGUCCUAGGAUAUUCCUAGGACUAACUCAGCACAUUUUAUCACCCCUCAUUUCUCCUCCCAUAAUCACUGACAGCUUCAGUUGCUUCGCUGCCAUAGAAACUAAAUUUAGAGAACAUGGUUAUUUUUCUUCCUCUAAAGAUCACUCUGAUAAAGAGCACAAUUCCGGGGUCUAUUGCUCUCAUCAACGCCCAAACAACUUUUUAAAAAGGCUUCACAAUGCUAUAGGCUGAGUGCUGGUAUAAAUCAAUUUCUUCCCUACCACGGUAUUGAUACACAUCAUAGUUACUUGUAAACGGAAAUUCUAACUAGUGAUAAAAAAUAAAACAGUAUUAUUUUUUUCCUCUAAGAAAAUUUUACUACUUUUUCUAGUUGAAACAGUUUGAUUUCAGAGCGCGGUUUAUAGAUAAUACCGAAGUGCAGGUUCUGCACAGAGAAAGUGGUUUGCUUGUUGUCAUCUUCAUAUGGAGGGAUUUCCAAGGCCAACUGGCACGUAUUUUCAAAGUAACCUCAAGAACUCAGUUAAGCCCAUUUCAGUUUUUUAAUAAUAAAAAUAAAUGCACUUCUUCGUCCGUGCCACCAUCAUCAUUGGUAUCAUCCGUUAUUAAAAUAAGGAGUAUAAUAUUGGGCUAAUAGCGGAUCACGGCAUCUGGCUCGUGUGAAAAUUAACAGCCCCGCUGAAAGUUUCAUGAGGAUGAUCUGGUAGCUUUAAAAAUUACUUUUUUUUUUAGUGGAUAUGAGGUGAGAGCUAAGGAAAGUAUGUAGUCAAAAAAAAAAAAAGAAGAAAGAAACCAAAGUUCUAUUUUUGGCUUUUCUGCCACUGACUCACAGUAUUAACUUGAACCAGUGGCCAACUUUCGUCUACUAACUAAGCCUAUCCACACAAGAGGCUUAGUUAACAGAUGAAAUGAGAAAUGCUUCAGCUUCCCUCUUUGAAUGCUGGAGAACUGCUGAGAUCACUUAUAUAAAUAUUUUUCUUUGAGCUCCCUAGAAGACAGGAACUUUAUAAAUAUUUAGUUUUAUUGUUGCACCUUAGGUACAAGUAGACCGGAAAUUAUACUCCCAUACUUAAGUAAGAAAUAACCUAUUUCAGAUAAUCCUGGUUCAUACCAAGGACUUUGCAUUGGCUUGUUAGGGUCUCUUGAGCUUUCUUUUUUUCCAUCCUCCUCCGCCCUUGCAGUUGACAAACGUGGAAAUAUAAAUAAACCUUCCACAGCAGCGAGGGUUCCAAGGUAAGGAAGCCCAGCAUGGAUGCAGACACGCUGGCUGAUGGCAAGCUGUGUAUCAGAAUGGGCUCUUCCUUCAAGGUUUUAAUGGCACUAGGUUCUGGAAUGAUGUUCUCGGAAUUCAUACAAGUGUUAUUUUUGGAUGGUGGAAUUUCAGAUUUAAGACAAGCAGUUGUACAGUAAUUAAUUUCCCAGCUGGGAAACUGCGACUUGAUGCAACUGAGCGGGGAGAUGGUAUUGAUCUAGGGAACUCAGGCAGCUUAUAAAGCACACUUAGAUAAAAUUGUCUCUUUUGUCUUCAUUUACUGGGGUGAUUCAAGCCAAGGCAGAAUGGGUCUCUUGAGGAUGAAUUAUGCUAAUGAUGUUCUGUUUGUUGACCUAAUCUCAAUACGAUUAUAUUAGUUUUAAUAGUUCUUAAGCACUCAGGGUGUUUUGGAUGCAAUGCCAGUUACAGACAAGCAAAGGGCAAUAACUUCACCCUCAACAUGCUGACUUUAUGAAAGAAUAA
This is a long non-coding RNA of Lagenorhynchus albirostris (white-beaked dolphin), 2206 nucleotides long. RefSeq lists it as uncharacterized. The transcript is spliced from 3 exons. The record is from RefSeq and is a predicted model, not a curated record. Lineage: Eukaryota; Metazoa; Chordata; Mammalia; Artiodactyla; Delphinidae.